CACGUAAUUAGCCGGACCUUAUUCGUAUAGUACUGUCAUUUUCUUCCUAUACAAAAGAUUUUUACAACCCGAAGGCCUUCUAAAUCACGCGGCGUCGCUGCAUCAGGGUUUCCCCCAUUGUGCAAAAUUCCCCACUGCUGCCUCCCGUAGGAGCCUGGGCCGUGUCUCAGUCCCAAUGUGGCCGUACACUCUCUCAAGCCGGCUACUGAUCGUUGCCUUGGUGGGCUUUUUCUCACCAACUAGCUAAUCAGACGCAAGUCCAUCUUACACCGCUAACACUUUGACUAUCGCUUCAUGCGAAGUGAUAGUUUCAUAGGGUAUUAUUCGUCGUUUCCAACGGCUAUCCCCUUGUGUAAGGCAGGUUACUCACGCGUUACUCACCCGUCCGCCACUAAUCCACUUAAGUUCAUUCCGAAGAAAUCAUUUAAGUUCAUCGUUCGACUUGCAUGUGUUAUGCACGCCGCCAGCGUUAAUCCUGAGCCAGGAUCAAACUCUA
This 496-nucleotide ribosomal RNA is filed under the name uncultured Anaerococcus sp. RNAcentral's name for it is "partial 16S ribosomal RNA". Lineage: Bacteria; Bacillati; Bacillota; Tissierellia; Tissierellales; Peptoniphilaceae. The record is from RNAcentral.